GCCUAGCCCCGAUUGCAGUAGAAAUCCUUUUGUGCCGGGGUUCGGCACAAAAGAUUGACACGAAAAGCGGGACAACUG
Molecule: small RNA, 78 nt
Filed under: Flavobacterium sp. 103
Lineage: Bacteria; Pseudomonadati; Bacteroidota; Flavobacteriia; Flavobacteriales; Flavobacteriaceae
Description: Flavo-1 RNA
Rfam family: Flavo-1 RNA
Source: RNAcentral